CCAGCGUGCAAGGUGCAAGGUGCGCGGGGGGCGCGCAUGCAAGGUGUGCGUGGUGCACAGUGCGUGGUGCACAGCGUGCAUGGGGUGCGCGGUAUGCAUGGGGUGCGCGGGGUGCAGGGUGUGCAUGGUACAGAGCGUGCGUGGUGCACGGUGCAUGGUGCCAGAGUAUGCGUGGGGUGCACAGUGUGCGCUAUAUGCAUGGGGUGCGCGGUAUGCAGGGUGUGCAUGGUACAGAGCGUGCGUGGUGCCCGGUGCAUGGUGCCAGAGUAUGCGUGGGGUGCACAGUGUGCGCUAUAUGCAUGGGGUGCGCGGUAUGCAGGGUGUGCAUGGUACAGAGCGUGCGUGGUGCACGGUGCAUGGUGCCAGAGUAUGCGUGGGGUGCACAGUGUGCGCUAUAUGCAUGGGGUGCACAGUAUGCACUGUGUGCAUGGUGUGCAUGGUGCACAGUGCAGUGGUGUGCACAGUGCAUGGAGCACAGUGUGCAUGGUGCACAGUGUGCACUGUAUGCAUGGUGUGCGCGGGGUGCAUGGUGUGCAUGGUACAGAGCGUGCGUGGUGUGCACAGUGUAUGGAGCACAGUGUGCAUGGUGCACAGUGUGCGCUGUAUGCAUGGUGUGCACGGUGCAUGGUGCACAGUGUGCAUGGCAUGCAUGCUGUGUAUGGUGCGCAGUUUGCGCUGUAUGCAUGGUGUGCAGAGUGCGUGGUGUGCACACUGCGUGUGGUAUGUGUGGUGUGCAUGGUGCACAGUGUGCACUGAAUGCAUAGUGUGCACGGUGCAUGUUGUGCACAGCGUGUGUGGUAUGCAUGGAGUGCAAAGUAUGCCUUGUGCUCCAUGUGCACAGUGCUUAGUGCACAGCGUGUGCAGUGCGUAUGGUGCACAAUGUGCGUGGGGUGCAUGUGUGUGUACAUGCAUGCUGUACACAGUGUGCGUAGUGCAGUGUGCAUAGUGUGCCUGGUGCGCGGUGUGCAGAGUACACAUGUACAUGAUGUGCAUGGUGCAUGAAGGGCAUAGUGCAUGCACUGUGGCUGCCACGAGCAUGCAGCUCCCCCCUUCACCAUGCAAGCCUUAAAAAUAUAUAUGUGGCAUGUAUGCCACAGAUGUGGGAGGCGGAGGCCCAAAGUGUGCAGGAGAGCAUGUGUCUGUCAGAGGGGGAGAGAGAAAGCUGCUGUGCUGGAGAGGUUGCAGUGGGAGCAGGGCAGGAGGGAUGUGGAGCAGCAGAAGUUCUGCACAUGGCUGCAGCAGAGCCGAGGGCAGAGCGGGGUAAAAGCCUCUAAUCCCUCAGUGCAAAGAUAAGGGAGAAAGAGGGGAGGACGUGCUCCUCCACACUCCUCAGGGGAGUGAACCCUUUCCCUCUGUCCAGAAGGACAUCUCUACUAUAGCUACAAAAUGAGAGUUCCCAACAUUUUCGAAUUGGAAAUACUCAUAUUCUCAUCGAGAGGGGCAGAGAGGGGUUUUUAAAGGGUAGAGAGCUGUUUCUCGCAGGAUCUCGGUAUUAAUGGCAGAUUAAAAACCCUCCUUUCACUGACAAUAAAGUAUUUUGCGACAGCACCUCGUACCGAAGAGGAGAUAUUUAUGUCAUUGUGGCAAAGUUGUGUCUCGCUGUGCGCAAAUUGCCGCUAGCCGAGCUCUUGGGAAACGUGAAGAGCAAAGCGCUUAGUGCUGGAUUUUAACACAGCGUCCGCCCGGUUUGGGCACUUCUGAGCUGAACGGCUCAAAGCCUUUUAAUCCCGAAGGCCAGAAAAGCAGCGAUAUGCGCGCGGCUGUGUAAUUGGACCUGUCUGUUUUACAUGUUCCCGAGGGUUUAUUAUAGGCAGCUUUCGAGUUAAGUGGGCCGGGACGUUUGCCGCUCUCGUCCCCGGUUUCCAAACCGGCGCGGAGCCCGUGCCGUGUGCCCGACGCAUCUCAGGGAUGCUACGGUUUUCUUAAUGACGGACCCAACGGAUCAGCGUUUUUCUUUCAGGUUAUUCGUUGGUCGGAAAGGGGUAAGGCUUCUCACGGACGAUCCAGCUCCGGACCUGGACACAGAGCUGCGUUCGGUUGCCCACACGGAGACCUUCAGGGCCACUUAGGAUGUCCUAGAGAGCUCUGCCUGACCUCCGGAUCCCGCUUCAGGGGGUCACUGGUCUGCUACAGAGCCUGUGUCCUUUCUGCCAGUCCCACAAAUGCAUCUCACAUACCCUUCUGACCCAUCUCCAGUGACACUUGGCACUUACAGAUCAUGUUCCUCUGAGCUAGAUUCCCAUCAGAGUCAAUGGGGAUCCAGUCUGGAGCCUGGCUGACCAGCUGACCAGACCCUAAGUGUCCAUUUUAUACUGACCCACCGUGCUUUUCUGAGCGACUUUUCAGAGCAGGACCUGCCUUGCCUGCAGCGAGCACGCGAGCACCGCCUGGACACGGCACAGCCGCACGCAGUCACGCACCGAAGGACUGGGGACCAGGGACUUUCCCUUCGGCUAGGAGGCUGUCACCACGAAGAGGAAGAUAAUCCCCAGGAAAAAAGGACCCUCCUUCCGAACCCAGUUUCGUUGCCUUUUUUGUCCCCCCACGCGUUUUGCAAUCUCCUGAGGUCUUUGCCAGCCCAUUCACAGAAACGAGCUGUUCCAGCCCCGCGGAGUCACACUUUAUAUCACUGUGCACAUGCCCUUGUUUAAUUUAUGUUUCCAUCAUACGAUACUCUUGUUAAGUA
Molecule: long non-coding RNA, 2686 nt
Organism: Dromaius novaehollandiae (emu)
Lineage: Eukaryota; Metazoa; Chordata; Aves; Casuariiformes; Dromaiidae
Exons: 2
Source: RefSeq, a predicted model, not a curated record